RNAcentral lists this ribosomal RNA (254 nucleotides) under uncultured bacterium. RNAcentral describes it as "partial 16S ribosomal RNA". It matches the Rfam family "Bacterial small subunit ribosomal RNA", at positions 524 to 776 of the family's 1533-position model. The record is from RNAcentral.
GACGUAGGGGGCGAGCGUUGUCCGGAUUUAUUGGGCGUAAAGAGCUCGUAGGCGGCUCAGAAAGUCGGGUGUGAAACCUCCAGGCUCAACCUGGAGACGCCACCCGAUACUGCUGUAGCUAGAGUCCGGUAGGGGAGCAGGGAAUAUCCGGUGUAGCGGUGAAAUGCUUAGAUAUCGAGAGGAACACCGGUGGCGAAGGCGGCCAACUGGACAGAUACUGACGCUGAGACACGAAAGCGUGGGGAGCAAACAGG